Molecule: long non-coding RNA, 1884 nt
Filed under: Mus musculus (house mouse)
Lineage: Eukaryota; Metazoa; Chordata; Mammalia; Rodentia; Muridae
Description: long non-coding RNA chr11:68531337-68533221
Source: RNAcentral
GUUGGUGGCCCUGCCCAAUUUAGCAUAGGAGUGCAGUAGGUGGGUUGGUGGGUAGACCUCAGGCUCUGGUGUCCCUCCUCACAGGCCAGCUCCCGACGCGUCCUGGAAUACUAUUUCCACGCCGUUGUGGCUGCCAUAGAGCAGGUGGCUAGCGAGGACAGCCCCAGCCGGCUGGGACACCUGGAGAAGAUGGAGGAGAUUUACUGCUCGCUGCUAGGGCCUGCGACCACAAGAAGGCACUGUGUCGGUAAGCGGGGACCUGCUGGGGACUUGCCUAGAGAGACUGCCAUCCGCAGGGGAGGGCGCCAAAGAGCUAGGCUAGACAGAAUGAGGUUUCCAGAGGAGCCUGAGGACUGAGAGGAGAGCUAAGGGAUUUGGCGGACCAGGGAGUAAGCAAGAGGUUAAUACAGUCAUGAUAGCCCACAGCUGCAAAGCUCCGGCUUUAUCCCAUUAAUGCGCUAAACAUUUAGCACAUAUUCAAAUCUAUGCCGUGUGUCAAAUCAAAUAAUUCGUAAAGUUAGGAAGUAGAAAUGAUUAUUGCCCCCAUUUUACAGAGGAGAUUUAGAGACUGAUUUAGAAAGAGAUUAAAAAUCUUGCAGACUGGCCCUCAGCUGGUGAGUGGCAGAGCCAGUAUUUGAAUCUUGUUCUGGGCAUGGUAAUCGACAGAUGUGAUUCCCAGGACACCUUCACAGAGGGUGGAAAGAAGCCCGUGCUGGCAUUAUUUGUCUCUUGGGUCGAUUUGUACUCUGAGACCUCCUUUCUGUUGGAAUGUUGAUAGAGACGUGCCACGCCCCAACAGGAGCAAGUGUCACGAGACGAGUGGGCGUCAACAAUCCAGAAUGUGUGUGUCCUGCCAGCAGUGGGAUGAUUCUAAUGUGUGUCUUGUUUGCACAGUCACUCAAAGCAGCCAUGGAAUAUGUCAGCCUGAGCGUGUCAGAACGUAGGGUCACUGACUGCACCCAUAGAUACAGGGUGCAGGGGAAAUGAACUAGAAACCACAGCAGAGAUCAGUGCACCAAGCACACUAAAGCUUGAAUGUGGCAGCCCAGGCUGGACAAAGUGAGCAGGAUAGCCCUGUUUAGACUCCACCCUCUCAGUCUCCCUGGUCUUUUGCCUACAAGCCUCCUCAGUCCCCACAGUCUGCUCCUUUCUUCAGGUGACCUUCUGCAAGACCGCCUGCCAAGCAUCCCCCUGCCCAGCCCCUACAUCACCUUCCACCUCUGGACCGACCAGGAGCAGCUCUGUACGUGCUGGAGCCUCUGAGCUCCUAUAGAAAUGCCUGAGGACCGUGGUGUAUGUCUGCGUGUGUUCACGUGUCUGUGCUCCUGUCUGUGUUCAGGUUUUGUCCUAUGUGUUGGUCCACGUGUCUGGACAAAGUCGCAAAUCUUCUCCGGAGCAGACAGCUCCCUCUACUGUUGUGUCCUACCCCAGUUCCCUCAGCUCUUCUAGCGAGUGAGGACAAGGACUCCAACUGUGGUAGAAAGGAUUAAGCUGGAGUACUGGGUUCAAGUCACUUCCUUUUGCAUGGCGGGUCACGGUAGAUGCCUGUCUCUCUGAGCCUAAAAGUAAACUGGAAACCCUGCAAGUCGUCCCUGGAGCUGGUGGCCUGCUAUCUGUGUCCCAGAGCAAGCUACAGGAAGUGGGGUGUUGGAAGGGACCCAAGGUCAGCUAAAUGUGGGAGGUGCUGGGUUAAGCACCAUCUUCUCUAGUACUGGAGUUCUCAGGGAUUUUAAUAUGUUUACUGAUUGGCUGGGUGUGGUGGUGCACACCUUUAAUCUCUAUAUUCAGGAGGCUGUGACAGGCAGAUCUCCGGGAGUUCAAGGCCAUCCUGAGCUACGUGGAGAAUUCCAGGAUUGCCAGGAUCCUACAUAGUGAUCCUAUCUC